Long non-coding RNA from Ornithodoros turicata, 422 nucleotides. RefSeq lists it as uncharacterized. The transcript is spliced from 5 exons. The record is from RefSeq and is a predicted model, not a curated record. NCBI's taxonomy places the organism in Eukaryota, Metazoa, Arthropoda, Arachnida, Ixodida, Argasidae.
AAACAAUCCUCUGCACUGCCUCGGCGCACCUCCCAGCACAGCAGGGAAAGCACUGAUGUUUGGAGGUCGCCACAGUGACAGCAUCUUGGAGAGUCAACUUUGCGCAGGCGGUAACGCCACUGAACAGUAUAAGCCACGUUUGAGUCGCAUCCGAUGAAUUAAUGCAGCAUCUUGACGGGAGGUAUUUCGUGGCAUCCGAAAAGCGAGCGUUGGAUCAACUCUUGCAAGCGUGGAGAGGGUGUCAUCUUUAUACUGCGGUCGGAUUGGGACAGGAAAAAGGACCUCCGUAAUUUGAACUCAGAAAACCAAGAGCUGGACUGAGACAGGAAGAAGGACCUCUGCUAUUUGGCCCCUGAAAACCUAGAGAUGGACUGAGACAGGAAGGAGAACCUCUGCUAUUUGGCCCCUGAAAACCAAGAGGU